CCUACGGGCGGCUGCAGUGAGGAAUAUUGGUCAAUGGCCGGAAGGCUGAACCAGCCAUGCCGCGUGAAGGUCAGUGCCCUAUGGGCGUUAAACUUCUUUUGUGCGGGAGCAAUAAUGGUCACGUGUGGCCAGACGAGAGUACCGUACGAAUAAGCAUCGGCUAACUCCGUGCCAGCAGCCGCGGUAAUACGGGGGAUGCAAGCGUUAUCCGGAUUUAUUGGGUUUAAAGGGUGCGUAGGCUGAGAGGUAAGUCAGCGGGGAAAUGCCCCCGCUCAACGGGGUGAAGGGCCAUUGAUACUGCCUUGCUGGAAUGCGGAUGCCGUGGGAGGAAUGUGUGGUGUAGCGGUGAAAUGCAUAGAUAUCACACAGAACACCGAUUGCGAAGGCAUCUCACGAAUCCGCGAUUGACGCUGAUGCACGAAAGCGUGGGUAUCAAACAGGAUUAGAUACCCGAGUAGUC
This 460-nucleotide ribosomal RNA is filed under the name uncultured bacterium. Its description in RNAcentral is "partial 16S ribosomal RNA". It matches the Rfam family "Bacterial small subunit ribosomal RNA", at positions 338 to 795 of the family's 1533-position model. The record is from RNAcentral.